AUUGAACGCUGGCGGAAUGCUUUACACAUGCAAGUCGAACGGCAGUACGGACUUCGGUCUGGUGGCGAGUGGCGAACGGGUGAGUAAAGGAUCGGGACGUGGCCAGUCGUGGGGGAUAAGGUAGGGUAAAGUACGCUAAUACCGCAUACGAUCGAUGGAUGAAAGCGGGGGAUCGCAAGACCUGAGGCGAUUGGAACGGCCGAUAUCAGAUUAGGUAGUUGGUGGGGUAAAGGCCCACCAAGCCAACGAUCUGUAGCUGGUCUGAGAGGACGACCAGCCACACUGGAACUGAGACACGGUCCAGACUCCUACGGGAGGCAGCAGUGGGGAAUUUUGGACAAUGGGCGAAAGCCUGAUCCAGCCAUUCCGCGUGCAGGACGAAGGCCCUCGGGUUGUAAACUGCUUUUGUACAGAACGAAAAGGUUUCUACUAAUACUAGGAGCUCAUGACGGUACUGUAAGAAUAAGAACCGGCUAACUACGUGCCAGCCGCCGCCGUAA
This 500-nucleotide ribosomal RNA is filed under the name uncultured bacterium. RNAcentral describes it as "partial 16S ribosomal RNA". It matches the Rfam family "Bacterial small subunit ribosomal RNA", at positions 30 to 523 of the family's 1533-position model. The record is from RNAcentral.